Molecule: non-coding RNA, 21 nt
Organism: Caenorhabditis elegans
Lineage: Eukaryota; Metazoa; Nematoda; Chromadorea; Rhabditida; Rhabditidae
Source: Ensembl
CAGUUGUCCGAGUAGAUGUUC